AGUCCUUCGCCGUCCCUCGCCGUCCUUCGCCAUCGCACGCCACCGCACCCCAUCUCUCGAAAUCUGCAGACAUCUUGAUUUUUCCCACGCUGUCUGUCAGGUCUCCGCCGCCACUCGACGCCAGGGCGCCGGGCCUUGUGGGCUGUGCUGCACCUCGGACGGCUUCGCACCAGCCAGCGCCCUCUCUCUCCUGCAGCACUCUGAUCUGCACCCCCUGAGGGGCUUCCACUGUCCGCGGGGUGAGAAUGCCCCUGGGAGUGUCACAUGACUGCCGCCCCAUGUGUGUGAGAGGCGUCCUCUGGGAGAGCAUGGAUCCUGAGGUCCCAGGAUUGUCAGCUGACCUCUGUCCUGUGUGCCCAGUGGCCCCAGGUGACGUGUCUUCAAGAAGAGGCUGAGCUGCGGUGCUUGUAAGUCAUGUGCUGUUCCUGGGGCUUGGAUGAUGUAGGGGAAGCAAGGUGAAAGUGGUAUCCCGUGGUUCCACGUUCUGUCCUGCUGUGGGGCUGUCCCUCACAUGCUUUCAGUGGCUGUUGCAGAGGAAGAGCCUCCGGAAAUCUGCGUGGGUCUCAGCCUUAGAUCCAAGGACAGUCCAAGGAAGUCCUAAGACCAUGGAGUUGGUGAUCUGGGAUCUGGGUUUGCUGAUAUUUCUCACCGUGAAUCUCUUGGUGGUGUUUGUGGGCACGAGAGGGGCAGAGAAUGGAGAGUGAGGCUACCACAUGAAGCGUCACCAGAGCUGCUCCCUGCUGCCUGCUCAGAGCACCCCGGAUCCACUGUUCAAUCUGCACAAGAUUCGGGGUCCAGACAUGGGAGACUUCAGCUGCCUCAGAGGACCGUGGACAGGGAAGGCCAGCCUCGCAUCCCUCUGUCCAUGCCUGGAAUGACUUUAAUAACCAAGAGUUUUAUUUUUGAAUUUGUAGCUGUCGUUCACUUUUUACCCACCCAUUCAAUAAACCUUACAGAAUUGCUCCA
Molecule: long non-coding RNA, 966 nt
Filed under: Homo sapiens (human)
Lineage: Eukaryota; Metazoa; Chordata; Mammalia; Primates; Hominidae
Description: small nucleolar RNA host gene 17, transcript variant 47 (SNHG17)
Source: RNAcentral